GGGCCCGUAGCUCAGUUGGGAGAGCGUCUCGUUCGCAAUGAGAAGGUCGUCAGUUCGAUUCUGAUCGGGUCCACCA
This 76-nucleotide transfer RNA is filed under the name Dongia sp. RNAcentral describes it as "tRNA-Ala". It matches the Rfam family "tRNA". From Rfam's summary of the family: Transfer RNA (tRNA) molecules are approximately 80 nucleotides in length. Their secondary structure includes four short double-helical elements and three loops (D, anti-codon, and T loops). The record is from RNAcentral. Lineage: Bacteria; Pseudomonadati; Pseudomonadota; Alphaproteobacteria; Rhodospirillales; Dongiaceae. RNAcentral also lists the same sequence under 7 other names.